GACGAACGCUGGCGGCGUGCUUAACACAUGCAAGUCGAACGGAAAGGCCCUGCUUUUGUGGGGUGCUCGAGUGGCGAACGGGUGAGUAACACGUGAGUAACCUGCCCUUGACUUUGGGAUAACUUUAGGAAACUGGGGCUAAUACCGGAUAGGAGCUCCUGCUGCAUGGUGGGGGUUGGAAAGUUUCGGCGGUUGGGGAUGGACUCGCGGCUUAUCAGCUUGUUGGUGGGGUAGUGGCUUACCAAGGCUUUGACGGGUAGCCGGCCUGAGAGGGUGACCGGCCACAUUGGGACUGAGAUACGGCCCAGACUCCUACGGGAGGCAGCAGUGGGGAAUAUUGCACAAUGGGCGGAAGCCUGAUGCAGCAACGCCGCGUGCGGUAUGACGGCCUUCGGGUUGUAAACCGCUUUCGCCUGUGACGAAGCGUGAGUGACGGUAAUGGGUAAAGAAGCACCGGCUAACUACGUG
RNAcentral lists this ribosomal RNA (468 nucleotides) under uncultured bacterium. RNAcentral describes it as "partial 16S ribosomal RNA". It matches the Rfam family "Bacterial small subunit ribosomal RNA", at positions 28 to 507 of the family's 1533-position model. The record is from RNAcentral.